Molecule: long non-coding RNA, 4896 nt
Filed under: Lynx pardinus (Iberian lynx)
Lineage: Eukaryota; Metazoa; Chordata; Mammalia; Carnivora; Felidae
Rfam family: tRNA (bases 974-1058)
Source: RNAcentral
CAGAGAGUCCGUUGCGAAAGGUGGGUACUGCCUACAUCUUUGACUUCGGCUAGAUUAGGGCAGGAAGAACAAGAAACCCCUCGGGGUGAAGUUAAAAGCCAUCCAAAGCCCCACGGAUCAUUCAAAGGGGUGGGGGGUGGGGGUGGGCGCUGGAGAGGCGCAGAGAAAGAGGAAAGAGGAAGGAGGAGAAACAGGAAAGGGAAGGAGGAGGAAGGAGGGUUUAUGUGAAGCGAUGUCAAUAGCUAUAUUUGGUGUCUACUUAGGCAGCCAAUCAUUUAUUUCCAGGCGGGCAGAAUCACUUAUUCUGCCCUGCUGUCUGUGUGAAAUCUCAUGCACACUGCACGGAAGUGGAAUAGAUUACUGCAGGGCCGGGGGGGGGGGGGGGGGGGGGGGGGGCGAGGAGGCGGUUAACCCACGCUCUUCAGGAAUGGCGGUGCCAGUCUCUCUGUGUAGGAAGUACUCGGGAUAGUAAUUUAGUUGGAAAAGGGUGGCAGGCCAGGAGGCUUGCAUGGAAAUUGCACUUGAAUCUGAGAACAGUUUUUUUUUUUUUCCCUGACUUCUAUGGUAUGCUUUAUUUGUGAUGGGUUGGAAAGGGAUCGAAAGUCUCCCCCCAAGUCUCCCCGAUCUCCCCCUUUUCCCCAUCUGUGGCACCUCUCAGAAUGGGCCCCUGCCCUUGCCAAAUGGAGAGAAUGGCUCUCUGUGUCCUUGGCCGAACUGGCCGACAGGACAGAGGAUAAACUGACCAUGGACCAGAAGUCAGCCCCCGGCACUCCUGGGACCUUCGUGGACUUGAGCACGCCCCUCUCUACUGACACUGUUGAUUACUGAUUGAAAUUUUCUUUUGGGAUAUGGGAAUAAAAAAAAUUAAAUAUCUGCAGAAGCAAGGUGAUUUGAGAAACCUCACGUUGCCAUGGCAUUGCCUUCUGUUCUUGUCAGUUUCCGGAUGGAGAAUGAAGGAGUGAGACAGAGGGGCGCCUGGGUGGCUCAGUCGGAUAAGCGUCUGACUUCAGCUCAGGUCAUGGUCUCACGGUUCAUGGGUUCGAGCCCCAUGUCGGGCUCUGUGCUGACAGCUCAGAGCCUGGAGCCUGCUUGGGAUUCUGUGCCUCCCUCUCUCUCUGUCCCUCCCCGGCUCACACUCGCGCUCUCUCUCUGCCUCCCAAAAAUAAACAUUAAAAAAAAAUUAUAAAAAAAAAAAAAAGAAAGAAUGAGAUAGAGUCUCUGAUCUGCUUUAGAUAUCAACACCCAUAGGAAAGGGGGUUAUUUAGAAUUUUGCUUCAGCUGCCGUAACAGGGAGUUCCAAAGUAAUAGUAGGCAUAGAUUCAUCACAGUGCAAGUUCAUUUCUCUCUCAUGGAGAAGUCAAGGUGAGCAGCUGUACUUCCAUAGCCAUUUCGAAUCCUGUCCUGUUGCUUUGACAUCCCCAAGCCGCAUCAUUCAUCUUGUGAUUGAAUGUGGCCUUUCUGGUUCCUACUAUCAUUCCAUCCCAUAGGAAGAGAGGGGAGAGAAGGGAAUAAUACUCAAACAGUAACUAUGAAACGCUAAUCAGCGCCACGGAAGAGGCAGAUCCAAAGUACACUGGGUGCUGUGUUGCUCGUGGGUGUCCUUGACCUUAGAUCCGUUCCUCCUCUUUUUCCUGCCCGCGUCUCUUUUGUCAAAGGGCUGACCCUUGCAGGCUGCCUCUCCCAGGUUCCUCUGCCAGCCGUCUUUCACCUCAAUUCAGUCGGUGGGAAACGCUGGUGGGAGACUGGCAGGCAGGAGAAAGGGACGUAUUGCUUCCCUCCUGUUUCUGUCUCAUGCAGUGACUCCAACGAUGACUGUGUCUGUUCACGACUCCAGCCCCCACUGGCCCACGGACUCUAGUAACGCUGCCUCCUUUCCUCAUCUUUCCAGCCGUCGGGUGAUAGUAACUUCUUGCUAUUGUUAAUCUCUGGAUUGCUUCACCACCCUGUUUAUUUUUUCAGCUCUCUAUCACCUAGAAUGAAUUCCUUGUAUGAAACCCCCCCAGUUGUAAGUAAAGUGGUCAAACGCUGGCCAGUAUAGGAGGGGGUACCACUCUAUCUAAAGGGAAGUUCAUAAAGGAAGUGACAUUUGUGCUGAAUCUUCAGGGUUGGCUGACCAAUCUCCAUUAAUUAACUCCAACUGGAUAUUUCUGGAUCCUGGGUCUAGGGGAGACACAAGGGGAGAAGUGGUUUGGGACACAGAUUUCUCGGCAGAGGAUUAGUGGAACCCAAAGCUAUGAUUACAACUGCUUCUAAUGCAGGCUUCUCCGCCUCAACACUAUUGACGUUGGGCUGGAUAAUUCUUAACUGGGGUACUGUGUCGUGAACUGUAAAGACGUUUAGCUGCAUUCUUGGCCUCUACCCACGAGCUGCCGUAGGACCCCUCCCCAGUCCUACUCAAGUGAUGACAACCCCGAAUGUCUCCAGACGUUGUCAGAUGCCCAUUGGUGGUGUGUGGGUGGGGGUUGCGGGUAAGAUCACUCAAGUUUACAACCACUAUUCUGUGUUGAUGGCUCCAAGCCAUCAAUAUACUGGCAAUAUGCUGGAGAUCCAAGCAAUAUACUGGAGAACCUUUUAAUUCUAAAGGUCACAAAGUCACUACCUUCCAGAAAGGGCAGCUGCCACCCCACCCCUCUCUUUCAUCUCUACUUCCCUCAGCCAGUGAGCGCCUUUAUUUCUGAUAAAUACUGUCCAGAGAACAAUGAUCCCUUAGUCUCUAAGGGAGUGUCGGGGCCAAGCCAUUGUCUUCUUGCCAAGAAGUGGUGACACAGGAAAUGAGGAGUCAUCAACCCUUUACAAUAUUAUAAUUCUUCUCUGAUUUUUGAGAUGAAAGUUGCAGAGCUCUGAAGGAUGUUUAAUUUUAUCAGUCAUGAUCAACCUUUCCUUUAUAAGACAAUUUUCUGCUUCUCCCAUCCCCAAACACACACCUAUCACGGUCUACUGGACUGUAAAAGAACAAAUCCUCUCUGAGAAAAAAACAACACCCCUAUGACUAUCAACAUUCCUACCACAAGGCAGACAUUUGUAUGCGUGUCAACAUAUUCCAUUAAUCUUUGUAACAAUCUUGUGAUGGGUUUUCCUAUUUCAUAGCUGAAGAACCAACUUGCCUACAGAAAUACACCCACUGUUAGUGAAGGCCUCCAAAGUUCUCCUACCGGUUAAAGGUAAUGGCAAUAACUUAGGCCUGCAUUGUGUUUUCCAAGUCUUCAGCUAUUAUUUUUUCACAUGCAUCAUCUAAGUUGUACUCAUAGCUUAAGUACUAUGGGAGGAGCUAUAGAAUAUCUUGUGCAGGGGAGGAAAUUUCAUGGUUAGGCAACGGGCUAGUCCCUGACGUGCCAAAGGUCUGAGAGCUGGUGGGAUGCUAUUACUGGAGGAUUUAUUUCAGGCAGAAAACAUGAGCAAAGACCCAGAGUCAAGAAUAAGUGGGGGGGUAUAGGGGAAACAAGGGGCUACGCUAACCCAACAGGAGCAGGUGAUUCGUGAUGGUAGGAAGGGAGAUGGGAUGUGUCUGUCCACGGGGAUCAGAUUAGGGAGGGCCUAGAAAUCCAGGCAGGAGAGUUGGGAGAUUAUGAAACAGCCACCGAGACAUGUUGGAAGUUUGUAAGCAAAGAUGAACAUUGUGCAUCCUACUCAGGAGUCACUUCUUCAGAAAAGCCUUACCUAAGCCCCCUCUUAGCGCAUCCUGGAGCUUCCCGUGCACAGUCAAGGCCCUAUGAGACUGUAACCUUUUUGAAGACAGAGCUCUGACUUACCCAACCUUGUGUCCAUAGGAGGUUCUCCAUGAAUGGCCUGAGUAAUGGGUAAAUGGAGCCUGAUAGAGAAACAGAGAUAGUGUGCUCUUCUGACUCCUCAGUACCAUUUGAAGAUGGACUCCAAGGACGGGAAGGCCACUGGACCUAUGAGAUCACAGACCUUGAACGCAGAAAGGUGCACAGAUGGAAUCUCAGAGCAGCCUCCAAGAUGCUCACUGAAGGAGAGCCGAGUUGGAGGAGAGAUGAACUGAGGAACCAUCGGGAAACAAAGAAAGGUGGCUGAGAAUCCCCAGGGCCAUGAAAAUGUGUUUGAGAAGCCCGACCAUCAUCUCCAUCCUAAAUCACGGUACAUUUCAGACAUCAGGAGACAUUUAGGCCUCACUACUGUUACAACUGACAUUCACUUCCCUUCUGUAGGAAGUGAAAUAGUCAUACCCUUAGUCUAAAAAACCCAAAAAAUAUCCUUCCAAAUGCUUCCCUCUUCCUGCAGCCCCCACCCAUUCACGUUGGCAUGUGGACAUGUUCCUGCCAAAUGAGUCAGUCAGAUAGGAACAUUAGUCUAUUUGAACAGAUGUCACUUUAAAAAGACAACAUUGCGCCAGUACACAAAGCUUCCCAAUAAUGCCUGUCGCGUAGCCAUGGCGCUGAUAGAAAGAAAAGGGGUAAUUUUGGUGAAUUCAAAGGAGCUAAGAUUGCUGUAAUUAUGGGGCACUGCUUCUAAACCAUCUUCAGGAGAAAGGAAGGCUGUUUUGUAUCAUGCUGAGAUACGGGAAGGAGGAGAGAGGGGCCUGGCAAGGAGGUUGGCUGUCGGAGGGGAGGAGGUGGGAGACGGCAGUGUUUGCGGGUGGUGUGCUUGUGUCUCAUUGCCGCGUCUUGAGCUGCGAGAAAAUAAGAUCUUCGAAGGUCACUGGGGGCACGCUCCAAAGGGUUUCCCCAGAACAAACGCCCCGUCCUCACAGUCUGCCCAACUCUAGCCCUUCUUUUUCCAAGCCCUGCUCACAAUCCUUUCCCUUAACCCUCUAUGGCAGAACCAGUCCCAGUGGGUUUUAGGACUUCUGUGUUGAUGACCAACGGUCUUCUAUUACUGUGUAACCUUUCGUGUGCUCACACACAGACUUGCUUCUUCUCCUUGAAGAAGGCGUGGGGC